AUAUUACUCCCUCUGUCCAACAAAAGAUGUCUCAUGUUUGUCAAAAUUUGGAUGUAUAUAGACAUGACUUAGUGUAUAGAUGCAUUCAAAUUUAGUCAAAGUUGAGACAUUCUUUGUUGGAUGGAGAAAGUAAAAU
Non-coding RNA from Brachypodium distachyon (stiff brome), 136 nucleotides. NCBI's taxonomy places the organism in Eukaryota, Viridiplantae, Streptophyta, Magnoliopsida, Poales, Poaceae. The record is from Rfam.